RNAcentral lists this ribosomal RNA (468 nucleotides) under uncultured bacterium. Its description in RNAcentral is "partial 16S ribosomal RNA". It matches the Rfam family "Bacterial small subunit ribosomal RNA", at positions 28 to 507 of the family's 1533-position model. The record is from RNAcentral.
GACGAACGCUGGCGGCGUGCUUAACACAUGCAAGUCGAACGGAAAGGCCCUGCUUUUGUGGGGUGCUCGAGUGGCGAACGGGUGAGUAACACGUGAGUAACCUGCCCUUGACUUUGGGAUAACUUCAGGAAACUGGGGCUAAUACCGGAUAGGAGCUCCUGCUGCAUGUUGGGGGUUGGAAAGUUUCGGCGGUUGGGGAUGGACUCGCGGCUUAUCAGCUUGUUGGUGGGGUAGCGGCUUACCAAGGCUUUGACGGGUAGCCGGCCUGAGAGGGUGACCGGCCACAUUGGGACUGAGAUACGGCCCAGACUCCUACGGGAGGCAGCAGUGGGGAAUAUUGCACAAUGGGCGGAAGCCUGAUGCAGCAACGCCGCGUGCGGGAUGACGGCCUUCGGGUUGUAAACCGCUUUCGCCUGUGACGAAGCGUGAGUGACGGUAAUGGGUAAAGAAGCACCGGCUAACUACGUG